CCUGGUGGCUCAGAGGGUAAAGCGUCUGCCUGCCAUGUGGAAGACCCAGGUUCGAUCCCUGGGUCAGGA
RNAcentral lists this transfer RNA (69 nucleotides) under Ovis aries (sheep). It matches the Rfam family "tRNA". From Rfam's summary of the family: Transfer RNA (tRNA) molecules are approximately 80 nucleotides in length. Lineage: Eukaryota; Metazoa; Chordata; Mammalia; Artiodactyla; Bovidae. The record is from Rfam by way of RNAcentral.